GGGGGUAUAGCUCAGUUGGUAGAGCAUCGCGUUUGCAACGCGAGGGUCACCGGUUCGAGUCCGAUUACCUCCA
RNAcentral lists this transfer RNA (73 nucleotides) under Planctomycetaceae bacterium. Its description in RNAcentral is "tRNA-Ala". It matches the Rfam family "tRNA". From Rfam's summary of the family: Transfer RNA (tRNA) molecules are approximately 80 nucleotides in length. Their secondary structure includes four short double-helical elements and three loops (D, anti-codon, and T loops). Further hydrogen bonds mediate the characteristic L-shaped molecular structure. tRNAs have two regions of fundamental functional importance: the anti-codon, which is responsible for specific mRNA codon recognition, and the 3' end, to which the tRNAs corresponding amino acid is attached (by aminoacyl-tRNA synthetases). tRNAs cope with the degeneracy of the genetic code in two manners: having more than one tRNA (with a specific anti-codon) for a particular amino acid; and 'wobble' base-pairing, i.e. permitting non-standard base-pairing at the 3rd anti-codon position. Lineage: Bacteria; Pseudomonadati; Planctomycetota; Planctomycetia; Planctomycetales; Planctomycetaceae. The record is from RNAcentral. RNAcentral also lists the same sequence under 1 other name.